Molecule: ribosomal RNA, 865 nt
Filed under: uncultured bacterium
Lineage: Bacteria
Description: bacterial SSU rRNA
Rfam family: Bacterial small subunit ribosomal RNA
Source: RNAcentral
UUAAGUNUGAUGUGAAAGCCCCCGGCUCAACCGGGGAGGGUCAUUGGAAACUGGGAGACUUGAGUGCAGAAGAGGAGAGUGGAAUUCCAUGUGUAGCGGUGAAAUGCGUAGAUAUAUGGAGGAACACCAGUGGCGAAGGCGGCUCUCUGGUCUGUAACUGACGCUGAGGCUCGAAAGCGUGGGGAGCGAACAGGAUUAGAUACCCUGGUAGUNCACGCCGUAAACGAUGAGUGCUAAGUGUUGGAGGGUNUCCGCCCUUCAGUGCUGCAGCAAACGCAUUAAGCACUCCGCCUGGGGAGUACGACCGCAAGGUUGAAACUCAAAGGAAUUGACGGGGGCCCGCACAAGCGGUGGAGCAUGUGGUUUAAUUCGAAGCAACGCGAAGAACCUUACCAGGUCUUGACAUCCUUUGACCACUCUAGAGAUAGAGCUUCCCCUUCGGGGGCAAAGUGACAGGUGGUGCAUGGUUGUCGUCAGCUCGUGUCGUGAGAUGUUGGGUUAAGUCCCGCAACGAGCGCAACCCUUAUUGUUAGUUGCCAUCAUUUAGUUGGGCACUCUAGCGAGACUGCCGGUGACAAACCGGAGGAAGGUGGGGAUGACGUCAAAUCAUCAUGCCCCUUAUGACCUGGGCUACACACGUGCUACAAUGGGAAGUACAACGAGUUGCGAAGUCGCGAGGCUAAGCUAAUCUCUUAAAGCUUCUCUCAGUUCGGAUUGUAGGCUGCAACUCGCCUACAUGAAGCCGGAAUCGCUAGUAAUCGCGGAUCAGCACGCCGCGGUGAAUACGUUCCCGGGCCUUGUACACACCGCCCGUCACACCACGAGAGUUUGUAACACCCGAAGUCGGUGAGGUAACCUUUUNGGA